This is a long non-coding RNA of Megalobrama amblycephala (Wuchang bream), 1984 nucleotides long. RefSeq lists it as uncharacterized. NCBI's taxonomy places the organism in Eukaryota, Metazoa, Chordata, Actinopteri, Cypriniformes, Xenocyprididae. The transcript has 6 exons. The record is from RefSeq and is a predicted model, not a curated record.
CAUAUACCGUCCAUGCUGGGCUGGAUCUGAAUCAGUCCUGGGCCUGUUUAUUUUUCGAUGGUUAUUUCAAGCGUCUUUUCCUCUGACUCGGUUACUUCAUAAAGAUGUUUUAAUAAGAGAAUGUUUGUUUUCUUAACACAGUGCUGGAAUACGGUUUGAUUUCAUAAUUCCCUCCGUACAGAAGCGUGUUUAGCUCUUCUAUCAUUCCGCACACACGCGCUGGAUGUGCGUGAUCCGGUGACGUCACGACUCACGCAAGAAGCUCGACAGCGGCCACGCGCGGUCACCAUCAUCAAGUCGUGACGACAAUUUGUAGGCCAAAAUGGACGGUGUUGGAGUCAUUCCACGAAACCGUUACUUUGACAUCAUCUUCCAGAAAGUAACAUCAUUUUAGUGGGAAAUCAACAGGACCAACAUAAGUUUCCCCAUCUGCUGUUACAUGAAUAUGUUGUUCCGCCCCAAACUCACACCAUUGGUUGAGCCAGAAGUUGACUUAUCAGGGCACAGAAUCAAACAGGUUCCCUCUGCUGAAUUCAACAGAAGGUCUGUUGAACUUGUCUCACCAAGCGCUCAUGAGGGAUCAACCUGUUGGCUGAGACAAAUCUAAUAGCGGUGACAAGAACCUGCAUCACACAAGUCAGAUAUAAUAACAGCACAGACACGACAGUCACUUAAGCCGAGCAGAGACGCCUCUGGAUAAAGAGGAAUCCACGGAGGCCUGUGAAGAUUCAACACAACCUGCAUAAGAAGCUGGUGAGGUCCCUCCUCCAUCCCUUCACCUACUCGUCACUGUACAAAAGCCCUGUGUGAUGAACCGAAGAUUUUCACAGUUUGAUUCAUCGGUCAAGACCUUCUUCCAGUCUUCAGCAGUCCACUGACGGUCCCCAGGAAAGGAUUCAUUUUGUAGGCCGCUGCACUACAAAAUUUGACAUAAGUAUUUACUUGCAUAAGUAAUGUUCCACAAAACUGCAUAUGAGGCACCUUCAGAUCAUAACACGAGGGAAUUCGAGCAGAAGGCCACCUAAUUGCACUUGAUUGUGCAUGAUCUGUCUGAACGAAGACAGCAUAAUUACAUCUUCAGGUCUUUCAAACAGAUGGCCCCAUGAAAAUGAAGCUGCGUUUCCACAAUAGAAACUUCACACCGUCUAACCUCAUUCAGCAGCCGCUCUGAAAAGGUAGACCGUGAUCUCGCUGUUUCUUUCAUUCGUUUAAAAAUCCGCACCUAUUUAUCUUCUCCCACUCUCACAGUGAGGCUAAGUAUGGGAACAAUGUCACCUUUCUUGUCUUCGAAGAUUUGCGUCAUUCUAACCUCUGCGGCCCCAGCCAAUCAUGCAUGUCUGAUAUUAGAAUGCUUCCGCUUUAAUUAUCUAGUCUAGAUUCUCCAUCCUUCAUUAUAUAGGAGGCCAAUACAUUCUGUGCCCUUGACCUAUGGAAGGCUUUCUGACAGAAGAAAUUCUGUCUUCAUUUCUAGGUUGAAAAGACCAGUUUUGGGGAGUUACUAACUAAAGAAGCAAUGCUACUAAUAAAAUUUGUCAGUAGCAUGGCAUUUACCUUUAGUCAUUUCACAUUUAGUCACGGUAGUUCAGUGCAGCUUUGCCGGUAAUGAGCUAUUUUUUCCAACAAGUAGUGGUGUAGCGUGACAAAAUGCUGCACCACUGUUUUUUAUGCCAUAGUGUUUGUGCACACAGUUUCUGUGAGCUGUAUAAUCAAAUGGGCUCUGUUAAAAUUUCUUCUUUCUCUAUUUUGUAGUGCUGGGAAGUCUGAUUCAUUUUAGGGAUGCAUGUACACUACUGGUUGAAAGUUUGGGAUAAUUACGAUUUUUUGAAAGAAGUCUCUUAUGCUCACCAGUACUGCUUCUUAUUAUGUGAAAACUAUCUUUGAUGAAUACAAAAUUUAUUUGAAAUCUUUUAUAACAUUAUACAUCACUUUACUGUCACUUCUGAUCAAUUUAAUGCAUCCUUGCUGAAUAAAAGUAUUAUGGUUU